CAUGAAAAAAAUGAUGUGUUAUUCAGCAUUCAACAUUCAGACUACAUUCAUUGUGCAGUUGUGCUUCUGUUGUCCAAUAAGAGCAGGCUCAAACACAAAGCAAGUCUAAACUUAUCUAUUAUACAUACACACAAUGUCAGCAAACACACAGUGAAGCCUGAUGUGUGUAUCCAGGUAACAACAAGGUUACAGAGAGUGUGCUACAGGCUGAAGCUUGUAACACAAGAACACACCCUCUCUGCACUUUUACCUGUCACAUUCUUUACAGACACAGACAGCAGAGACCACAUAAAGAGACCUCAGUCCUCAGAAAUGGCAGAGAAAAAGGCAUUAUCUGUUGGUAAUGGACAGUCCACAGUGGCUCAGUCAGGACAGAGUAGUCUUCCAGGACCCUCUGCAGGCACCCACAAUGUACUGCAGGACGGACUGAGCUUCACUCCAUUGGACUCAAAUGAUGCCAGGGCUGUUCAGCCUUUCCCACGUUCUCCAAAACUACAGAAGAAGAUAGCCAAAGCUGGACAGCCCUCUCAGCCCUCAUUUACCUGCUAGGAGUAGCUUUGGUAGCUGUGGUGGCCUAGCUGGAUCUGCUCUGCUCCGGAUCCCAGGCUGGGUGAGCAGUGGGCGGUGUCUUGGAGCAGUGGUGGAACAGAGCCCUGACGCCUGUAGAGAGGAGCUAUGCCGUGCCGGUGCUGGUGCCGGUGCCGGGAAGGCUUGCCUUGCGACUCUGAUUUCUGCGUGCCAGUGGUGGUUCACCUGAUUUCCGCACUGAUGUCUGGCCGCUCCCUGACACAGCGGAGGACGCACAGAGUUUCACCGUGCUGGUGCUGGGGAAGGCUUAUCACACGGCCUUGAUCUCUGUGUACAACCAGUGGAUCACCUGGUUUCCACACUGACGGCUGGCUGUUCCCUGAACAGCAGGGGAUGCAGGGAGCUCUGCCGUGCCAGUGCUGGGGAAGGCCCUAUCGCACAUCCCUGAUCUCUGUGUGCGAGCAAUGAAUCACCUGGCCUUAAGCAAUGUUGUGGCUUUUGACUCUUUUUAUCUUGUUUUAUAUGUUUUGUCCGAAUUAUUCUGGACCUGUAAGUCAUGUUGUGCCUUUUGCUCUGGAAAAAUGUACCUGCACUGAGGGUUGUAAGGCAUUGAAUAUGCUUGAUGUUAACAAGUCAGCAGAUCCUGAUAAUCUAGAGCAUUACUUUUUAAAUCUAGCAGCUGAUUUUGUUGUUUCUCCUUUAAAAUACCCUCUUAAUUUUUCUGUCUUUAAACAAAAUUCCUCUUAUCUGGAAAUCUGCUUUUGUUCUGCCCUUAUUAAAAGCUAGUGACCCAACCCAGCAAAACAACUAAAGGCCCAUUUCUAAACUCACAGCCCUGGCCAAAAUGCUUGAAUAAUUGUUACAGGUAAGUGAUAUUUUAUCUGUUUAUUAAUCUGGAUUUUGAAAAAAAAGUAUAGCACUACUACUGCUGCUUUAAAAGUUGUUAAUGAUUUGGUACAUUCCUUGGAUAGUGGUCCACAUUGUGCUGCUGUCCUUGUUGACCUGUCUAAGGCCUUUGACACAGAAGAUCAUAAAAUACUGAUAAACAGAUUACAUCAUAUUGGUCUAUCAGACAAAGCAGUUGGUUGAAUUGCAAAUUAUUUAUCAGGCAGAGUGCAAUAUGUACAAGAGGAGGGCAUGUUGUCUGCCCCUCUUACAAUUACCAAUGAGGUGCUUCAAGGGUCUGUAUUAUGGCCUCUGUUGUUCUGUAUGUACUUAAUUAGCCUCUGUCAUAAUGUACCUGAUGCAUGUGUUCAUCUGUAUGCUGAUGACAGUUAUUUAUUGCUCUGCUGCUACUCAGACUCAGGUCCUCUCCCAGCUUCAUCAACCAUUAAUGCUGUUCAAAAAUUUCUGUUCAAUCUGAAGCUUGUCUUGAAUGCUGAGAAAACAAAAUGCAUGUUACUCACAAAAGCCAAGGUAGAGCUUUCAAACAUCCACACUAUUGUUAAGAGUAGGGUUGGGUACCGAAAGUCGCUGCUUAUAUGGAACUGGUACCCAGGGAUGGGCAGUAUUUCUAUUACUUGUAUUUAAAAUACGUAUUUCAAUUACAUUUGAGAAUUUUGUCAU
Epinephelus lanceolatus (giant grouper) is the source of this 2094-nucleotide non-coding RNA. Lineage: Eukaryota; Metazoa; Chordata; Actinopteri; Perciformes; Serranidae. The record is from RefSeq and is a predicted model, not a curated record.